Molecule: long non-coding RNA, 1083 nt
Organism: Hyla sarda
Lineage: Eukaryota; Metazoa; Chordata; Amphibia; Anura; Hylidae
Exons: 5
Source: RefSeq, a predicted model, not a curated record
GGGACGCGCGCCGGAGGCCUGCAGCAGCGCGGACCCGACCCAGGAGGAGCAAUGGAUAUAUAAUCCAGCCAAAUGAUCUCUAGGAACAUCACAUUUACCUUUACUGCUGAAGAAAGGUCCUACGGAGGACCUGAAACGCGUCCAGCUUUAACCACUUAUUCUAAGUGCCACAUCAUCUAUAUCAAAGAAUACAGCUUUUUCAAAGGAUUCACCAUAUCUGUCAAUCAACCUCUGACAGUACGUGCUACUUCCCACCACGAGGAGACCGCCAGCCCAGCAUUACUGCCAGCAGGACAACGGCUGCAGUACCCAUAAACGGAGCCCACUUCUGCCGCUGCAUACCUGAGGCUGCCGAGCCUCCAGCAGCGCACCCUCCAUUCAGGGACCAGGACCCGUCUGACGACCAGCGCAAACCACAUAAAGCCUGGGGCAAAGGAAGCUACAAGCAGACUCGUAGGUGAUCAACAUUUACAAGCAGAUGUGUCCUCCUCCAGCCUCCUCUCUAUAACCUCCUUAGAAAACCAUGUGGGAAAGUUUCUCAGCCUCUGCCACCUCAUUGCCUCAUGUAACCUGAAAGCAGAAGAUUCUUCUACGCAAGCACCCAGGACGCCACAAAGGAGCGGAAACACUUCAAAGUGCAGCCACGUACUCCAUGAAUUAGUGAUGAGGAUUAGUCACUUUCAAGGGCUUUGAGUUCAAAGCCAAGCCGAAAACUUCCCAAAAGCUGCGGGGCAAAGGAUAACCCCUUUAAGUCAAGACCAAGUGCUGCACAAUGAAACCGGAAUCCAUCAGAGAUGUGGGAAAUGGUGCAGGGGUGUUGUUUCUUUUUGGACAACGCCUUAAAAUAAUAAAUAAAGGGGCAAGAUGGGAGUUGCCCCUUUGCAACUGUUCGAGAGUCACCAGAUGAAGAACACUUCAACAAUAUCUGCCUACUUUCUUUUGCUAACCCUACAGACAGCAGAAGAGAAGGGGAGUAACACGUGACUGCAGGAUCAGACCACACAGAGAUCGGUUGUAGUCUGUAACCAUGGAGAUACACAGGUCUGUAUAGGAGCUGUAUACAGAAAAUAACAGAUUAUAAAA